This 396-nucleotide ribosomal RNA is filed under the name Triticum aestivum (bread wheat). RNAcentral describes it as "partial small subunit ribosomal RNA". The record is from RNAcentral. Lineage: Eukaryota; Viridiplantae; Streptophyta; Magnoliopsida; Poales; Poaceae.
AUGGAGCAGGCGAGGAGGAAGAGUUCACGGUCAUGGACGGCGGCCGUGGCCCUGGUGUCACUCUUUGCCGUAGUCGCCGUUGCCGCGGCGGGGGCGCCGGUGCCGAGGAGGAUCCUGGUGGACACGGACAUGGACACCGAGGACCUCUUCGCGCUGCUCUACGUCCUCAAGCAGGACCGGUCCAAGUUCGACGUCAAGGCCAUUACCAUCAACGCCAACGCAUGGAUCGACGCCGGCCACGGGAUCAACCAGCUCUACGACAUCCUCUACAUGAUGGGCCGCGACGACAUCGCCGUCGGCGUGGGCGGCGACGGAGGCAUAUCGGACGCCGGCGAGAUACACCCCGACGUCGGCGGCUACCUCCCUCUCAUAGACCAGGUACUACUAACAACAUGA